RNAcentral lists this long non-coding RNA (211 nucleotides) under Mytilus galloprovincialis (Mediterranean mussel). Lineage: Eukaryota; Metazoa; Mollusca; Bivalvia; Mytilida; Mytilidae. The record is from RNAcentral.
GUAGAGAGUGCCUUAGUUAUAUAAAAAUAAAAAGAAAUGUGGUAUGAUUGCCAAUGAGACAACUCUCCACUAGAGACCAAAUGACACAAAAAUUAACAACUUUAAGUCACAGUACGGCAUUCAACAAAUGCAAAAACCCAUAUCGCAUAGUCAGCUAUAAACUGCCCCGAAAUGACAAUGUAAAACAAUUGAAACGAGAAAAAUAACGGCC